ACUCCUACGGGAGGCAGCAGUGGGGAAUUUUGGACAAUGGGCGAAAGCCUGAUCCAGCAAUGCCGCGUGUGUGAAGAAGGCCUUCGGGUUGUAAAGCACUUUUGUCCGGAAAGAAAUCCUUGGCUCUAAUACAGUCGGGGGAUGACGGUACCGGAAGAAUAAGCACCGGCUAACUACGUGCCAGCAGCCGCGGUAAUACGUAGGGUGCGAGCGUUAAUCGGAAUUACUGGGCGUAAAGCGUGCGCAGGCGGUUUGCUAAGACCGAUGUGAAAUCCCCGGGCUCAACCUGGGAACUGCAUUGGUGACUGGCAGGCUAGAGUAUGGCAGAGGGGGGUAGAAUUCCACGUGUAGCAGUGAAAUGCGUAGAGAUGUGGAGGAAUACCGAUGGCGAAGGCAGCCCCCUGGGCCAAUACUGACGCUCAUGCACGAAAGCGUGGGGAGCAAACAGGAUUAGAUACCCCAGUAGUCCC
This 470-nucleotide ribosomal RNA is filed under the name uncultured organism. RNAcentral's name for it is "partial 16S ribosomal RNA". It matches the Rfam family "Bacterial small subunit ribosomal RNA", at positions 335 to 797 of the family's 1533-position model. The record is from RNAcentral.